RNAcentral lists this ribosomal RNA (367 nucleotides) under uncultured bacterium. Its description in RNAcentral is "bacterial SSU rRNA". It matches the Rfam family "Bacterial small subunit ribosomal RNA", at positions 527 to 896 of the family's 1533-position model. The record is from RNAcentral.
GGAGGGUGCAAGCGUUAUCCGGAUUUACUGGGUUUAAAGGGUGCGUAGGUGGGUUGGUAAGUCAGUGGUGAAAUACUUUCGCUUAACGAAGGAACUGCCAUUGGUACUACCAGUCUUGAAUACAGUGGAGGUAGGCGGAAUGCGUCAUGUAGCGGUGAAAUGCUUAGAUAUGACGCAGAACACCAAUUGCGAAGGCAGCUUGCUACACUGUUAUUGACACUGAGGCACGAAAGCGUGGGGAUCAAACAGGAUUAGAUACCCUGGUAGUCCACGCCCUAAACGAUGAUUACUCGAUCUCAGCGAUACACUGUUGGGGUCUAUGUGAAAACAUUAAGUAAUCCACCUGAGGAGUACGAUCGCAAGAUUG